RNAcentral lists this ribosomal RNA (425 nucleotides) under uncultured bacterium. RNAcentral describes it as "bacterial SSU rRNA". It matches the Rfam family "Bacterial small subunit ribosomal RNA", at positions 354 to 796 of the family's 1533-position model. The record is from RNAcentral.
GUGGGGAAUAUUGCGCAAUGGGGGGAACCCUGACGCAGCAACGCCGCGUGGAGGAAGAAGGUCUUCGGAUUGUAAACUCCUGUCUUCUGGGAAGAUAAUGACGGUACCAGAGGAGGAAGCCACGGCUAACUACGUGCCAGCAGCCGCGGUAAUACGUAGGUGGCGAGCGUUGUCCGGAAUUACUGGGCGUAAAGGGCGCGUAGGCGGCUUUUUAAGUUAGAUGUGAAAACCCGGGGCUUAACUUCGGACGUGCAUUUAAAACUGGAGAGCUUGAGUGCAGGAGAGGUAAGUGGAAUUCCUAGUGUAGCGGUGAAAUGCGUAGAUAUUAGGAGGAACACCAGUGGCGAAGGCGACUUACUGGACUGUAACUGACGCUGAGGCGCGAAAGCGUGGGGAGCAAACAGGAUUAGAUACCCUAGUAGUCC